Molecule: long non-coding RNA, 1023 nt
Filed under: Felis catus (domestic cat)
Lineage: Eukaryota; Metazoa; Chordata; Mammalia; Carnivora; Felidae
Description: lncRNA (ENSFCAG00000045518.1)
Source: RNAcentral
GAACCCGGGAAUCCUGAGGGCGCGGCUCGGCUCAGCUCCUCCGGGGCCUCCAGCACGACUUCUAAGGAGCCACGGAGACAUCUCGUCGCUGGUCUUUGCAGAGGGCGUCUAGACACGCUCCCAGUGUAGUGAAUCGAGGCUGCGGGGAGGGGGUUGGGCUGAAAGAGGAAAGACUGGGCAAACGGGCCCCGGGGCGGCAGCGAUGGUGGCCUCAGCCCUGGCUCCCACGGCCGGCGUGCCCCGGACUGGCCGUCCCCCCCUGACCAGCCACUGUGGGGAGCCGGCCUGCCCCCCCCCCCACCGAGGGCCGCCCUGAUCCAGCAGCUUUCACGCCAGCAAGGGCUGCUUCUGCUGAUUCCCAGGCAGGCUUUCAUGCAUUUCCCACCCAGAUUUCUAAUUCCACGCCUCGGGGCUCCACACACAAGUGAUUUUCCCUCUUUUCUACGAUGGCGGCUCGGAUAUUGGAAGAUGUCUCCGGGCCGCCCUGUGAGUCUCCUUCCGCGCCCCAGCGUGUCUGAGGGCAGGUGACAGCCGUGUGCGGCUCGCCCCUCGGACCUGGCCGGCCCCAACAUCCGGGCACCUUCUGGAGUGUCCUCGUGCCUCAGGAUCUAAGGGUACCCAGAAAGUUGUCACUGGAGGACACGUGAGUGUCCCCCAUGCAGGAUGUGGCCUCCAGGGAUGAAACACAAGUUUCCUGAGGGAAAGGGGCCCAGAGACCCGGUGGUCUACAGACGCGGAGGCUCGGGGGUGGACGGGCCCCCUGUGUCCCUCCCAGUGAACCCAGGGCCCCCUGCACUGUUUCUGAAGGCACGCGUCGCUUCUGCGAGGCUGGCAGCAGGAGGGCUCACCGUACCACGUGCGCACUUGCUGGGGCGUUUGGGAAGCCCACGUGUCACCGUCCGAAGAGCCACCGGGCGGUUUUCCAAAAGCGGCCGCAGGCUUGUGUGUUCCGAUCUCCCGCCAGCACGUGCUGGCCCCCGACUGCCGGUUCGAGCCCCGAGGAGCCAGAUUCGCCCGCCCUGA